Molecule: ribosomal RNA, 273 nt
Filed under: uncultured prokaryote
Description: partial 16S ribosomal RNA
Rfam family: Bacterial small subunit ribosomal RNA
Source: RNAcentral
UACGAGGGGUGCAAGCGUUGCUCGGAAUUAUUGGGCGUAAAGGGUAGGUAGGUGGUCUUAUUUGUCUGAGGUGAAAUCCCGGGGCUUAACCCCGGAAGUGCCUUAGAAACGGUAAGACUAGAGUCUUAGAGGGGUUUGUGGAAUUCCCGGUGUAGCGGUGAAAUGCGUAGAGAUCGGGAGGAACACCAGAAGCGAAGGCGGCAAACUGGAUAAGAACUGACACUGAACUACGAAAGCGUGGGUAGCAAACAGGAUUAGAUACCCUAGUAGUCC